This 436-nucleotide long non-coding RNA is filed under the name Anas platyrhynchos platyrhynchos (common mallard). RNAcentral describes it as "lncRNA (ENSAPLG00000022718.1)". The record is from RNAcentral. Lineage: Eukaryota; Metazoa; Chordata; Aves; Anseriformes; Anatidae.
AAACAAAAAAAAAGAUUAUUUCCUCAAUAACAAAUAAAACCACUUAACUCAUUAGGCUCUGUUUUCAAAUGAUAUUGCUUUAAAACAGUCUAGUCAUUUUUUGUCAAAUGUGUAUAUUUGAUGCAUAAUAGAUAAGUACACACAGCAAUAUAUAAUAUGGAUAUAACUCCAUAAUAAUUUUAGUUUUGUCUUUGUAGGAUCCUUGGCCCAAACUGACAACCUUCAUUCAAAGCCACUAUCUGAAGGGAAGAGAGACGAAUCUAAAGAAUCUCUGUCAAAUUGGAAAGCCAGCUGCUGCUUUGUGACCUUAUUUUGAAUUUCAACCAUCCCCUGAAGGCCAAAGAUUUAAGAGAAGCUGAAGAAAAAACUCGGAGUUUGACAGAUUAAGUAAUACCAUCCAUUUUCAUACAUUGUCUUCUAUUAAUAGCAAUUGAGU